RNAcentral lists this ribosomal RNA (259 nucleotides) under uncultured Staphylococcus sp. Its description in RNAcentral is "partial 16S ribosomal RNA". It matches the Rfam family "Bacterial small subunit ribosomal RNA", at positions 103 to 355 of the family's 1533-position model. Lineage: Bacteria; Bacillati; Bacillota; Bacilli; Caryophanales; Staphylococcaceae. The record is from RNAcentral.
CGGGUGAGUAACACGUGGAUAACCUACCUAUAAGACUGGGAUAACUUCGGGAAACCGGAGCUAAUACCGGAUAAUAUUUUGAACCGCAUGGUUCAAAAGUGAAAGACGGUCUUGCUGUCACUUAUAGAUGGAUCCGCGCUGCAUUAGCUAGUUGGUAAGGUAACGGCUUACCAAGGCAACGAUGCAUAGCCGACCUGAGAGGGUGAUCGGCCACACUGGAACUGAGACACGGUCCAGACUCCUACGGGAGGCAGCAGUA